Molecule: long non-coding RNA, 2235 nt
Filed under: Mytilus galloprovincialis (Mediterranean mussel)
Lineage: Eukaryota; Metazoa; Mollusca; Bivalvia; Mytilida; Mytilidae
Source: RNAcentral
AGCAGAAUACUAAAAAAAGAACAAAGAUUUCUGUUUGUUUAGUCGCUUGUCUUUUGUUAAUGUCUGUUGGAGGUAAGAAACAAACAAGUCAACCGCUUUUAGUCUUUGUGUAUAACUGUUGUUUGUUGAAAUGAGUUGUAUUGCUCUUUCGUGAGUUUCUGUGUUGGCAGGUAUCCUUUCUUGUUAUUACAGUUGAAAUGUUAGAAAUAUAGAUCUUUUUGCUAUUAGGUAAUGUCCACCUGCAUAAUAUGUUGCUGCUAAGUAAGUUUUGUCAAAUUUUAUAAAAAUCAUUAUGGAUUAUACGUUGAUCUAUAAAUGUCUGUAGUAUUAUUGUAUGUUUGAUCGCUGUUCAAUUGACAUAUGGCCAUCAUCCCCAUGUAUGUACAUCUAAAUAUUGCUUUUUUCCCCUCUUAAUAAGAGAUGAGAUGAGAGGCACACCAGACAUAACAUUAGGGAACUGCUAUUAUAACCUCGAUCCGUGUUUCCUAAAAAUCUUUUAUACUAAUGAAAUGAUGAUAUAUCAUAGCAACGAUUGUUUUUGGUUGUUUAUAAAUGAUUUGUGUACGUAUUUUGAAUCUUAAAUGCAUUAUGUUAGCAAAACAUUUCACUACACUUGAUGAAAUAAAAUACACUAUAUAUAAAACUUAUGUGCGAAACAAUGUCUGUCAACAUAAUUGUGUUUGCAUUGUACUUUAAAAAAAAUAUCAGUUUUCUCGUAUGUUGGAAUACAUCUUAACGGUUCAGAAUAUACAUUUGUUUUCCAUUGGAGUCAACAUGGCAAAUGACGAAAUGCUGGAAGACAAUGAACUCAUUCAUGAGUAAGUUUGGUUUAAUUCCUUAUAGAUUCCAUAGAUUUGAUUUGUAUAAGAGUCGGCUAUCAUUGAAGUAGUGAGUUGGUUCAGUAAUAAUAAAUAACUAAAUAUCAAAGGUCGAUGUCUCUAGGUAAAUAUUUUUAUCAAGAAUAUGAAGUUUUUAAGCAACAUUGGUUGUAUUAUAUGAUUUUAGUAUAUUAUUAUACUGUAAAAAGCAAACACAACACAUAAGGGUAUCAAUAAUGUAUCACAUACGGAAAUACUUAGAUAUGCAACGCUGAUGUAUAUUGCAGGAAAAAUCGCAUUGGAAAAAAAUCAAAUGAAAAGAAAUCUAUAGUUUUACUUCAGUAUAAGUGUAAAAGUAUCUAAAAAAAAAUGGAAAGUUUCAAUCGAAAGCAAAACCUUAAAAGAAAACAUCAGAUCAUAUUUGGACAAAAACAAAAAAGUAUAAAGUUGUCUAUAAAGCACAAAUAUAGAAUAAAAAACAUGUAAGCUUCGGAAACAGUUUUUUUGUUUAGACAGCCAAUUUUUCGAUUAUCUUCAGUAAACAAAUUUUCCAACCACUGAAUCAGAGGCUCCCGACUAGGAACCGGUACAUACAUAGUGUGGCGGCUGUAAACAUGACAGCAGGCGCGGGUUUACCAAUUGAAUUGACCAGUACAUUUUCGUCAAUAAUUUAUACAUGUCUAUAUAUGCUAUGAACUUUAUAAGAGGGACAGUUGAUAAUGUUGUCUCUUAACGACUCUUAAGAUAUCAAUAAUGUCCAUUCGCCUAUGCCCUGCGAUUAGUUCUGGAUAUCAUUCUGAUCAUCUGAACCUCUAUCAAAAAAAAUAUCAAUAAAGAUGUAAGACACUGAUUUGAAUUAACCAGCAAUUCAAAUAUUGGUAUUAGUACUUGAUUUUGUAAACUAAUUACAUGAUAGCAAUAUAAAACCAUACUUCCGGAAAUUUAUGAAUGUUCAAAUAUUACUCAAUCUAACCCUCGAAAUGGAUGCUUAUAUGUGUUUUUUUCUACAAAUAUUAACUAUCAGUGUUGUCUUGUUUUAGUCGUGUGAAGAGAGCUCCAUGUUGGCCUCGAGGAUGUUUUCGUGAUCGUGACUGCUGUUAUGGAUAUCAAUGCUCUUAUAGAAAAUGCAUGCGCAAAAGGGGCUAGUGAGUUUAGCCAUCCAUCAUUUGCAAGUUCUGAAGAUUCCAGAAAAUCGUGUUAUUUAAAAUGUUGGACUUGUGUAAAUGAUCAGCGAUAAUUAAAAUUAUUCAGAUUUAUUUUCUUUGGUAUUUUUCUUACUUUAUUGUAACAAGUUGAAUGAUACCUAAAACACAAUUUCACUAACCUUCAAGGCAACGUAUGAUUCGAGUCAAUAACAUGGCUUUCAACAUUUAAUAAAUAAAUGAUGCAAUCGCAUCUAAGCAAACUUACUAAUAAU